UGGGGAAUAUUGGACAAUGGGGGAAACCCUGAUCCAGCCAUGCCGCGUGUGUGAAGAAGGUCUUAGGAUUGUAAAGCACUUUAAGUUGGGAGGAAGGGCAGUUAACUAAUACUUGACUGUUUUGACGUUACCGACAGAAUAAGCACCGGCUAACUUCGUGCCAGCAGCCGCGGUAAUACGAAGGGUGCAAGCGUUAAUCGGAAUUACUGGGCGUAAAGCGCGCGUAGGUGGUUCGUUAAGUUAGGAGUGAAAGCCCCGGGCUCAACCUGGGAAUUGCUUCUAAAACUGGCGAGCUAGAGUAUGGUAGAGGGUGGUGGAAUUUCCUGUGUAGCGGUGAAAUGCGUAGAUAUAGGAAGGAACAUCAGUGGCGAAGGCGACCACCUGGACUGAUACUGACACUGAGGUGCGAAAGCGUGGGGAGCAAACAGG
Molecule: ribosomal RNA, 429 nt
Filed under: uncultured bacterium
Lineage: Bacteria
Also listed under: 3 other names
Description: bacterial SSU rRNA
Rfam family: Bacterial small subunit ribosomal RNA
Source: RNAcentral